This 835-nucleotide unclassified non-coding RNA is filed under the name Hevea brasiliensis (rubber tree). The record is from RNAcentral. Lineage: Eukaryota; Viridiplantae; Streptophyta; Magnoliopsida; Malpighiales; Euphorbiaceae.
AUUUGAACAGUCAGCUGCUCUAUCCAUGUCAAUCCCCAAAGUUCCGGGUCAAAUUCCUGAUGUUGGUUCUUUCCGACCCGAAAUGAAUAGGUCCGACCACCAGGAACUCGCCGCUGAUACGCUCUCUGAUCCUCUCCUUCGAAACGGCUCCUUUAUCAACGCUAAAAACAACUUCUCCACCAGCGGGCACACCACAAACAAACCAAACAGAGAUAGUCACCAAGCGGCUCCGCAGUCGUCUGGUUCAGCGAAUCCCGUGGAGACGGAGACGCAGACACCGACACCGACGCUGCCUAAAUCGAGGAGAAAAGCACCGGUGCUGUCGUCGGAAUCGGCGAUUGGGUUGCCGCCGGGAUGGUUAGUUGAAGAUCGGGUUAGGACCUCCGGUGCAACGGCUGGCAUGGUAGAUAAGUAUUACAUUGAGCCUGUAUCAGGUCGUCGAUUUAGGUCCAAGAAAGAGGUGCAGCAUUAUCUGGAAACAGGAACCUUGAAAAAGAACAAAAGAGUAACAGAGAAUUCUGAAGAUGACGUUAAUCAUCCAGAGGGUUCCAGGAGUCGCAACAAGAAGGCUACGAAGAAUGCAAAGCGUCCUGAAAUGAAGUUUGAUUAUUUGAAUGUGCCUGAUAGGAUCGAAUGGGUUCUUGAGGAUGCAAAUGAAGAUGCUUGGACUCCCUUCAUUGGAGGCAAAAAGGUUACUGAAUAUGAUAAGCAAAAUUGGGAGUUCGAGAUGCUUCAUUUGCACCACUAACUGCUAGAAGCAGUGGCGAAACAAUGUUUCGAAGCCUUUCAGAAUUCUGCCCCCGAUUCAUCAAAUGGUAGUCUCACACAGGCCAAU